RNAcentral lists this ribosomal RNA (460 nucleotides) under uncultured bacterium. RNAcentral describes it as "partial 16S ribosomal RNA". It matches the Rfam family "Bacterial small subunit ribosomal RNA", at positions 338 to 795 of the family's 1533-position model. The record is from RNAcentral.
UCUACGGGAGGCAGCAGUGAGGAAUAUUGGUCAAUGGGCUUACGCCUGAACCAGCCAAGUCGCGUGAGGGAAGACUGCCCUAUGGGUUGUAAACCUCUUUUGUCAGGGAGCAACUCCGGCUACGUGUAGCCUGCCUGAGAGUACCUGAAGACAAAGCCUCGGCUAACUCCGUGCCAGCAGCCGCGGUAAUACGGAGGAUGCGAGCGUUCUCCGGAUUUAUUGGGGUUAAAGGGUGCGUAGGCGGAAUGCCAAGCAAGCGGUAAGAUCGCGGGUCCCAACCUCGCUCCGCCGUUGAAACUGGCGUGCUGGAGUGGGCGAGAAGUAGGCGGAAUGCGUGGUGUAGCGGUGAAAUGCAUAGAUAUCACGCAGAACUCCGAUUGCGAAGGCAGCAUACCGGAGCCCAACUGACGCUGAAGCACGAAAGCGUGGGUAUCGAACAGGAUUAGAUACCCGUGUAGUC